CCCUUAGAUGUUCUGGGCCGCACGCGCGCUACACUGAUACGUUCAGCGAGUAUAUAACCUUGAUUGGAAAAUCUGGGUAAUCUUUUGAAUGCGUAUCGUGCUAGGGAUAGAUUAUUGCAAUUAUUAAUCUUGAACGAGGAAUUCCUAGUAAACGCAAGUCAUCAGCUUGCAUUGAUUACGUCCCUGCCCUUUGUACACACCGCCUGUCGCACAAACCGAUUGAAUGAUUCGGUGAAAAUUUUGGACAUCGAGAGUGGUGAUUAAUUUCGCUGUUCUUAAAUGGAAAGAAUUUAAACCUAAUUAUUUAGAGGAUUGUGAAGGCAUAACA
Molecule: ribosomal RNA, 328 nt
Filed under: uncultured eukaryote
Lineage: Eukaryota
Description: partial 18S ribosomal RNA
Rfam family: Eukaryotic small subunit ribosomal RNA
Source: RNAcentral